UCCGCCCUGCCUGCGCCGAAGGCCUGCGCUGGAUGCGCGGGGUAUUGAUGUAGACGCGGUGGGGCGGC
The submitters of this non-coding RNA (68 nucleotides) gave its source as unclassified sequences. The record is from Rfam.